RNAcentral lists this long non-coding RNA (1614 nucleotides) under Chloebia gouldiae (Gouldian finch). RNAcentral's name for it is "Erythrura gouldiae (Gouldian finch) lncRNA (ENSEGOG00005012398.1)". Lineage: Eukaryota; Metazoa; Chordata; Aves; Passeriformes; Passeridae. The record is from RNAcentral.
CGGGCCCCGAGUGGAUGUGGCUUUUUGUUUUAUUGAACAAAAUAGAUUGUGAAACUCCUCCUCAUACCCUGGAAUCGACUUGUUUGUGGAAGGAUGUGGACAAGAGCCGGGAAGCAGCCUGGAAGCUCCUCCUCACCCAUUUAUCAGUCGAUGGGGGUGCUGAAAAACUGAGCCAGUGAAACUCACGCCCACUGAUUUCUACCACGAGGAUCCCAGGCGGAAGUUUUGGUUGCUCUCCUACCUGAAUGGCUGCUAAAAAUAGGACUUAACUCAGCCACCAGCUUGGGUAUAAAAAGGCACCUCCCAGGAGAGCCUGGGGUUCCUCAGUGCCCGUGGCCCAGGAACUCAUCUUGAGCUGUUUCCGAAGGAGCAGAAAUAAUGAUGGAAAGCAACACUCAGGCUCCGGCUGAGGAGAUGCCUCAGUGGGACGUGGGGAGGCAGCCACUGGGCAAGAUCCUCUCUCUGGACAGACGAGAGGCCAAGAAAGUGCUGGAGAUUUAUGUCAAGCGCUCACUGAGCUGCCGUGAAAACUCACUGGUGGCCAAAAAAACCCUUCAGGAGAAAGACAGAGGGCGAGGGAAGAAAAUUGAUGGGCUACAUCGGUCAGAAAGUGAUUUCUGCACGUACUCAUGUGCCAAACCCAGCCCCAGGAAGGACCUGGAGGAGAAACUCAAAGCACCAGACCUGGAGGAGACUUUGGGUGAUGACAGCAAGGCUCCCCAAGAGGUGCCUAAAGAGGGGCUGAAGGCCAAGAGGAAAAGCACAAAAAACUCUUCCCAGGGCAAAACACAACACUGGGGUUCAAAACAAGCCUGGCUGAAAGGUUUCUUAAAUCUUUUCUUGAAGAAGAGCCCUGAGGACCAGAAAGAAAACACAGGGCAAAAAGCAAAGGAGAAAGAUGUCAAAGCUCUUCAGGGCUCCAAACCAGAAGGAGCCAAAAAACACAGAGUGGACUCCAGCACGUCCCCAGCUUUGGGCAGAGCCCUGAAGAAGAAACCCAGCCUCAAGAAGGUUUUCUCCCUGAAGAAGCAUGGUGAGGAGGAGUGGGGAGAGCCGGGAUCCGGGGCGAGGAGCAAGCGCCCCAGCUGCCUUCCCCUGCGGCACGUCCUGGCCCCGGCCCAGCCAGAGGCGGAGCCGCCCGAUGGAUUCUACACCCAGGUGUCCGAGGAGAUCGGGCUGAUCGUGCAGGGCAGCGAGAGCCGGGCGGGCACAGCGGGAGGAUGUGGGGAGCCCCCGCAGCCCCCCGGCACCGACGGCGUGGGUGAGUGCCGGCCUUGGAAACAAACGUGGGGAAAGACUUGUCCCCUGCAGGGCCUGCACGGGAUCCAGCCCUGCUUCAGCCCUGCUCCUGGGGCUUUCGUGCCCCCGAGAGCUGGAUGGAGACUCUGCAGGAGAUUUUCAGCAUCGGGGUUUGACUGGGGGACAGGGAGAUUCACAGAAUUCCAGAAUGGAUUCUGGGUUGGAAAAGACUUUAAAGAACACUUCAUUCCAGCCCCCCUGCCACAGGCAGAGACACCUUCCACAAGACCACAUAAAAAACAAAAUUCAGGGGUAAGAGAGUAUUUUUGCUGGCUGAGGGCAACAAAGGUAACAAGGCACGUGGCAAUAGGUUGA